Long non-coding RNA from Gallus gallus (chicken), 2151 nucleotides. The record is from Ensembl. NCBI's taxonomy places the organism in Eukaryota, Metazoa, Chordata, Aves, Galliformes, Phasianidae.
CGGGUGAGGCGCGACACGAAGCUCCCCGCCCGAUCAGAGGCCGCGGGGAGGAGCCGGGCGGACCCCUCCUCGGCGGCGCCGCGCACCGAGCCAACAUGGUGGCGGCAGCGGCAGCGCGGGGUGGAGGGGAGGCGAGGGGCAGCUCCCGAUCGGGGCCUUUCGGGGAGGGUUGCGCAGAGCCCGGCUGCCGCCUUCUUGCUUGACGCCGGUCAGGUGUGUGGCUUCAGCUCUGAGCUCUUCCGCCUGCCGUGGGAAAGGUGUGGAGAAAUUACUCUUCAACCACGCAGCCGGGGAUGUCCAGGCUUGGUGUGUUAUGGAUUUGAGUCAGACAGGGUGAACAGAGCGUCAGGACUGAGCCAGCCCAGGUAACAAAAGCUGGAGAAGAGGCACUUGUGGAAAACUCGCUGUUAAAAUAUGAACAACAGCAACAACAAAAAACACACCACAGUAAGAGGUGGAAGAAGCCUGGAUUUACUGAAAGCAGCCUUGCCACUAGAUAAUGCUUUUUAAUAUUACUAGUAAGAGUUCUUCGACUUCUUCAACUUCUUGUGCUGAGGUUGUUCUUGGCAUUCAUCUGCUUCACUGCUGGGACACUUGCACUGUGAAAUCUGCUGUUCUCUCAUGUUAAAAGAAAGUAACUUUGCCAGCGAAUCUACAGAGAAGCACCUCGACCUCCAGACUGGGAGCAGUCAUUUGAGAUUUAGCAAGUCUCAUGCUGAUGUCAAGGAUAUGCCUUUUGCGGUAUCUCUUAAUAAUACACCCACAUCUGACCUGGUGGUGAGUAAGUCUCUGCACAGCCUCACUUUGCAUGUAGGGGCUUAGCUCAUCUAAGCUGAGUUCUCCCCAAACUAUCUGCAUAUCCUCCCACAAGCCCUGCUUGCCAAGCAGCCUGGAGAUGCUCUGCUCCAAGGCUUCAAAGGCGAAGCCAGCAUUUCUUUGCAAUUAGGUAGAAAUGUACAGCUGGGAUGGACCUCCCACUGUGCAGCAAUCAUUGUGGGAAAGUAUCAGUUGCCUUUCCCUUCUCCACGCCUGGCUUAAAAAGAACAGAAAAGUACAAGAAUAAAUAAAUGAGGAAGACUCUGCUUCCAUGUUGCUCUUCUCUAGUUCUGCAGGCUGCUGCUUUGUCCUGCUCUGUCAUUAGCACACUUCUUGAAGAGCUGGCUCUCAAGUGGGGAAACAAGCGGAGCAAAACCCAGCCCGAGCCCCCUGCACAAGUGUUUAUGCUGGGGAUACAUCAUAGCUUUUUGGAACUUCUAAUGUUUGUAUUCUUCAAAAGGCAGGAAAAAACUGCUACGUUCAGCAGAAAACUCUCUAUAUUCCAUGAACUUAGAACUGAAACUAUAAAAAUGCCAAAUAUUAAUUUUUUUGUUGUUGUUGUUGUUUUGAAUGGAGAGCUUGUAUCAACAUGUGUUUCUCUGAAUUUUGAGUUACUCUUAAAAAAAUGGAGCUGACACGUAUUCCUUCAUUUACCUUAAGCACAUAGUUAAUUGAUCCUGUUGCUUUGGAGAACUGCAAAACUAUGAUGGGAAUACACAAAUCUUCAAUUUUUUAAAAAAUAGUAUCUUACUUCACUAUUUCCUUUUAGUCUCUACAUUUCUUUAAAUAGUCUAUAGCAGCCAAAUAAUAUCAUGCAAGAGAUAUUUCAUUGCUCAUAGAAUAAACUGUAAUUAUGCAAUAAAAGAAUGCAUUUGUCAUUCUCAUAAUGGGACAAAAUUAAUUACUUGGAGACAAAUCCAGCUAAAGAAAAUAAGAGAAAUACUAAAUCAAAAAUACGUAACAUUAAAGGUUACAUUAAUGUUGCUUCCUUCUACUUGUUUUUCCUUUCACUUUUGGUUAAAAAGGGAUUUUCCAAAGCACAGGAAUUUGCUCAUUCUAUUCCUAGUUCUUUGAAAACAGAGUGUAUGAAAAUCAGACUGACUGUUCCACCCUGAAUCAUAUUGUUUGCUUUUGUUUUCUAAUUGGGAAGAAUAAUAAAACAUGGAAAGCUCAAAAAUAUUUGGGUUUUGAAAUGUGGUCUUGGGGCAUCUUUGAUGGAUCAUCCUAACACAGCUGGAAGGGACUCUAUUGUUCUUUAUGGAAAAUAUAAUCCAUCCAGGGACCCCAGAUGACAGGGGAAAUGAGGGGCCUAAAGCAUGACAAACUCCUGAUGAG